Molecule: regulatory RNA element, 120 nt
Rfam family: PyrR binding site
About the family: This family represents the PyrR binding site and terminator structure. This RNA structure is found upstream of a variety of genes involved in pyrimidine biosynthesis and transport.
Source: Rfam
UGCCCUUUUAAUUGCAGUCCCGUGAGGCUGACAAAGGGGAAAAGAGCCGUAGAUCCUAUCAUUAAGCGGCAUUUUCUAAACCCUCUUUGUGCCUUAACGGACGCUGAGGGUUUUUUUUUU